Molecule: ribosomal RNA, 371 nt
Filed under: uncultured bacterium
Lineage: Bacteria
Description: bacterial SSU rRNA
Rfam family: Bacterial small subunit ribosomal RNA
Source: RNAcentral
GUAGGGGGCAAGCGUUGUCCGGAUUUAUUGGGCGUAAAGAGCGUGUAGGCGGCCAGACAGGUCAGCUGUGAAAACUCGAGGCUCAACCUCGAGACGUCGGUUGAAACCGUCUGGCUAGAGUCCGGAAGAGGAGAGUGGAAUUCCCGGUGUAGCGGUGAAAUGCGCAGAUAUCGGGAAGAACACCCGUGGCGAAGGCGGCUCUCUGGGACGGUACUGACGCUGAGACGCGAAAGCGUGGGGAGCGAACAGGAUUAGAUACCCUGGUAGUCCACGCCGUAAACGAUGGGCACUAGGUGUGGCGGGUGUCGACUCCCGCUGUGCCGAAGCUAACGCAUUAAGUGCCCCGCCUGGGGAGUACGGCCGCAAGGCUA